RNAcentral lists this ribosomal RNA (465 nucleotides) under Vreelandella stevensii. RNAcentral describes it as "partial 16S ribosomal RNA". It matches the Rfam family "Bacterial small subunit ribosomal RNA", at positions 338 to 795 of the family's 1533-position model. The record is from RNAcentral. Lineage: Bacteria; Pseudomonadati; Pseudomonadota; Gammaproteobacteria; Oceanospirillales; Halomonadaceae.
CCUACGGCGGGCAGCAGUGGGGAAUAUUGGACAAUGGGCGAAAGCCUGAUCCAGCCAUGCCGCGUGUGUGAAGAAGGCCUUCGGGUUGUAAAGCACUUUCAGUGGGGAAGAAAGCCUUGGGGCUAAUACCCUCGAGGAAGGACAUCACCCACAGAAGAAGCACCGGCUAACUCCGUGCCAGCAGCCGCGGUAAUACGGAGGGUGCGAGCGUUAAUCGGAAUUACUGGGCGUAAAGCGCGCGUAGGCGGUCUGAUAAGCCGGUUGUGAAAGCCCCGGGCUCAACCUGGGAACGGCAUCCGGAACUGUCAGGCUAGAGUGCAGGAGAGGAAGGUAGAAUUCCCGGUGUAGCGGUGAAAUGCGUAGAGAUCGGGAGGAAUACCAGUGGCGAAGGCGGCCUUCUGGACUGACACUGACGCUGAGGUGCGAAAGCGUGGGUAGCAAACAGGACUAGAUACCCUUGUAGUC